This 81-nucleotide ribosomal RNA is filed under the name Bacillus pumilus. The record is from RNAcentral. Lineage: Bacteria; Bacillati; Bacillota; Bacilli; Caryophanales; Bacillaceae.
CAUACCGAACACGGAAGUUAAGCUCUUCAGCGCCGAUGGUAGUUGGGGGUCUCCCCCUGUGAGAGUAGGACGCCGCCAAGC